Long non-coding RNA from Oncorhynchus gorbuscha (pink salmon), 4460 nucleotides. RefSeq lists it as uncharacterized. NCBI's taxonomy places the organism in Eukaryota, Metazoa, Chordata, Actinopteri, Salmoniformes, Salmonidae. The record is from RefSeq and is a predicted model, not a curated record. The transcript has 2 exons.
AUUGUUCGAUUCAGGUCCUAUAUCUGAAAAUAAGUUAUUGAAGGAAAACAGUUUCAGUUUGUCUGAUUCUCUGGUCAAGCCACUGUGUGUGCGUGUGCCCGCGUGUGUGUGUGUGUGUGUGUGUGUGUGUGUGUGUGUGUGUGUGUGUGUGUGUGUGUGUGUGUGUGUGUGUGUGUGUGUGUGUGUGUGUGUGUGUGUGUGUGUGUGUGUGUGUGUGUGUGUGUGUGUCGGUGUAGAGAAGUCAAAGAUAUGCUGUUACUAUGGUUACUAUACCAUAGUAACCAUAGUACUAUGAUUAAUAUGCUGUAACUAUGCUGUCAUUAUCGUUACUGCCCAGGAACUUUAUUGUUACUAUGUCAACCGCCCACCUCAAGGUGACUACUGAACUGGUCCUCAGGGUGUUUCUGCUCAUAUUGUCAUUGACUGACAUAAAAAAAAGUAAACCUAAAUGUUGUGUCCACAUUGUAUCAUUAUUUAGCAAAGCAUCUAUGAUUAAUCAUUACACUGGAUAUAACUGACGUGUGUGUGUGUGUGUGUGUGUGUGUGUGUGUGUGUGUGUGUGUGUGUGUGUGUGUGUGUGUGUGUGUGUGUGUGUGUGUGUGUGUGUGUGUGUGUGUGUGUGUGUGUGUGUGUGUGUGUGUGUGUGUGUGUGUGUGUGUGUGUGUGUGUGAGAGAGAAGAAGAAGAAGGGGAAAGAGUAUGUGUCAUUGGAACCACCAGGAAAAAAGAAAAGAACACAACCACACAUGUUGGUCUUCUCAGCAGAGUGAGGAAUACAAAACAGAGAUGAAGAGAUAAAAACAGAGAGAAGAGUCACAUUUGUGUGUAUCAGUGUCACUUCCGUCCCUCUCCUUGCCCCAACCUGAGCUCGAACCAGGGACCCUCUGAACAGAUGGACAACCAUCAUCCACAAAGCAUCGUUACCUGUUACUCCACAAAAGCUGUGGUCUUGCAUAGCAAGGGAAACAACUACUUCUAGGUCAGAGCGGAUGAGGUCACCGGUUGAACACUACUAGCGAGCACCACUAAAUAGCUAGCCAUUUCACAUUGGUUACAUGUGCGCACUUGUAAAUAUGUGUGUUUGCCUAUGUGUGUAUGUGUCAGAAAGAAGACUCGUACUGCAGUAGUUCAUAGAGCAGAGGUCUGUCCCUGUAUCGUAUGCCUGCGGCUGCAGGCGUCAGGUACUGUAGUAGGUUGAUGGUCCUUCGCAGCCGUCUGUCCACGUAGUGAGCGUCCCAGGCUGGGUAACGUUUCCUGGGCAUGUCAAUCUUUAUCAGAGGACCUUCGAAACGCCUCGAGGUGGGGGGCUCCAAACGCACCUGGAACACCGGCAGACAGCCUUCUGCGAUGAUGUCAUCACUGUGAAACGGGGAAGCAAGGUGGGCUGGGGUGGGCGGAGCUGAAGGGGGCAAGGGGUUACCCCACAGCAGCUCAUCACACCAGGUCGAUGCCGGGGUGGGGUGUGUGUGUGAGGGGUGAAGAAGGCCGUAGUACAGAAGCAUCACCAGUACUCCACCCGUAAAGGACAGGUAGACACCACACAACGCUGGAACCGCGUAGCUGUCUGUCUCUUCGUGGUCACGAUACACAUACCUGUAACACAUACGCACACACGCACAACUGUUUUGAUAUCCACGCACACACAUAUGUCUCUGUACAAUCAUGAGAGAUACACCUAUUCGAAGAUAAAACACAUACUGUAGGUGUGUGCCUGUCUGUCUAUCUGUCUGUCUACAUACCACAGUCCAGUAAGCAGUGUGUUCUCAGCCAGUACCACAGAGUAGUAAGCCACCAUGCGUCCCCUGGUGUGUCCCUCCUUGACAUUGAACCAACAGAAGAUGUAGACGAUGCCCACCACCAUGUUAAACAAAACCUCCUCCCAGCGAGACAUACAGAAGUCUGUUCCGCCAUGCACCACCCACAGGGCCAUGCCACACCAGUGGAGCACCACGAAGAUGCCAAAGUACAGGUGGAAGAGGGAUGCGAAGAGGGCGAGAGAGAGAACGCGGGAGGAGAUGGUGAGGAGGCGCCAGAGAAGGUGGAGGAGGGCACCGCGAUAACUCAGACUGCGCUGGUCGUCUCUGGAGUCGCGCAGGAGCUUGUGGUAUGAGGCCAACACCCAGGAUAGAGACAGAAGAGAGCCUAGACUAGAUAUACCUAGGGAGAGAGAUGGAGUGACUCAUCUUGAUAGCUGUAAUACCAGUUGACCAGUGAGUGUGUGAACUGUGUGUAUACGUACACUGUAGAGUCUCAGCCCGGUUCUGCUGUAUCAUAAUACAGAGCUGUAGUACUAGUUGAGGAGCUGACUCCAGGAAGGUCUCCAGAAGCCGCAGCAUGUUGACGUCUGCGUACUCAAACAUCAUGGCCCAGUAGAACCUCCUCUGUGCCUCCUUAUGCUCCUUCAUACGGUGGGACUGGAUACCCAGGUAUAAAGUACGGAUAUACCUGGGGGUCAGAGGUCAAUAAUUAUGGCAGAGAGUGAGAGAGACGGUUUGUGUAGAAUGAAUCAGAUUAAACACUGAGUGCCCCAGGCUGUGCUUGUGGGGUGUGUGUGUGUCUGUGUUUCUCUUGUGUGUUUGUGUAUGUGUGAGCAUGUGCGUAGACAUGCUCAUACAACCAUCUGGGCUGCAUCAUAUGAGCUAAUUUCAUACGACAUCAAUAAUUCACUGGUCACAUACAGUAGAAACACAUGCACGCACGCACACAUUUCACCAGAUAAACCUGCAAGAUGCCGCAUCACAACAGAGAGUUUAAUUGUUUAAAUGUCGCUAUCCAUCAUUCCCCUCCCCCCUUCACUUCUGUUCUGCGUGUUCAAGCUCUUUUUUUCUGUCAAUUCUACUCCCUCCCUCCAUCUCACAGUGAUCUAACUCAAUCAGACUGAACCAUUCCACACACACCACUCUUUGGGAAAGACUCUAUUAGGGAGAUUGUUACAAACGUACACACACACUAGCUCUUAAGCCCACUCAACAUCUCCCUCAGGCACCUAGGCCAUGAAAGAUUAGUCUGACAGAGAGAGGGAGAGAAGGAGAGAGGGGGGAGCGGAGAGGGGGUACAUACAGGAUAUCCAAGUGGAAUGGCAUGCCUUUGACCUUUGGUGUCCGGUCAGGAUGUUUUGAUGUAGUGUUUUUCUAGUUUGAUGGCCUUGUGACUAUCAGCCUUGUGACUAUCAGCUCCGCUAGCUAGUUAGCUAUCCAGCUAAUUGUCCAGCUGUGUCAGACACAGACAGUGGAAGUGUAGAGAAAACACAAGAGAAGAUGGAAAUCGAUUGAGCCCAAAUAGGUUCAAACCGUUUUUACAGAAUAAAAAUAUAAUAAUAAUAAUAAGAAGAAGCUUUAUUCAGGUCAGUGCUGGUUCUGCAUAUGUGCCCUUCCUUGCUAAUUAUAUAGGCCAUUAGUGUAUGGUUUGAGUAGCCUAGCUAAUACUUACAGCCAAUCACAUCCUAAAUAUCACCUCCUUCACUGACUUCCAGUGUGUGUGUGCAAUUUUUUGUGUGUGUUUGUGUGUCAGCGGCAGAUACUCUUUCUUCUUUGUUCUCCACCUGUACACACAUGGUGAGGUUAACACGUGACCUAGUACAUGGACUUCAUUUGAUAGUAGAGAAUAGAGAAUGGGAGAGGGGAACAGAGGAGAGAAGAGGAGAAGUGAUCUCCACCAGGCACAACCAGAAGAGGACUGGCCACCGCUCACAGCCUGGUUCCUAGCCACUGUAGUUCCGCAUUGCUUGCUCUUUGGAGUUUUAGGCCGGGUAUCUGUAUAAGCCAAGGGGAAAAUUGUGGUGUAGAUAUUGGGGGAUGAACAGUAGACGGGUGGUCCUGGUGGUCCACUCCGGAUUUUCUUUUUGACAUUUUAAUAUGCAUUCUCUGCAAUUCUACACAGUUUGAAAUGACUUAUUAUGCCCCCCCCCCCCCCAAAAAAAUAUAUAUACAUAUAAAUAUAUUCUUAGGAAACCAGCUAACUUCCUGCAUUUCAACACCUUUUGUCAUGGGGCAGAGAGAAAACUGUGCAGUUUUAUAAUGCUAUUCUACACAUUUUCUCAUGAGUCUGAGAACAUUUAGCAGUUUUAAAGCAAAUUGCCUGCAAUUGUACAAAUCCUUCCAUGUGGCAGAGACAAAAAUGUGCUGUUUUAUAGCUUAUCUCACGGUAUUCUUCACAUUAUGACAUUGUCACGCCCUGACCUUAGAGAGCCUUUUUAUGUCUCUAUUUGGUUUGGUCAGGGUGUGAUUUGGGUGGGCAUUCUAUGUUCUUUAUUUUUUUUAUUUCUGGCCGAGUGUGGUUCCCAAUCAGAGGCAGCUGUCUAUCGUUGUCUCUGAUCGGGGAUCAUACUUAGGCAGCCCUUUUUCCCACCUGUGAUUGUGGGUAGUUGUCUAUGUGUAGUGGCCUGCGUGCACUACGUAGCUUUACGUUUGUUAUUUCUUGUUUUGUUGGAGACAUUAUAAAUAAACUAAAAUGUACGCUGAC